Molecule: ribosomal RNA, 426 nt
Filed under: uncultured bacterium
Lineage: Bacteria
Description: bacterial SSU rRNA
Rfam family: Bacterial small subunit ribosomal RNA
Source: RNAcentral
CGCUGGCGGCAUGCCUAACACAUGCAAGUCGAACGAGACCUUCGGGUCUAGUGGCGCACGGGUGCGUAACGCGUGGGAACCUGCCUUUAGGUUCGGAAUAACUCAGAGAAAUUUGAGCUAAUACCGGAUAAUGUCUUCGGACCAAAGAUUUAUCGCCUUUAGAUGGGCCCGCGUUGGAUUAGCUAGUUGGUGGGGUAAAGGCCUACCAAGGCGACGAUCCAUAGCUGGUCUGAGAGGAUGAUCAGCCACACUGGGACUGAGACACGGCCCAGACUCCUACGGGAGGCAGCAGUGGGGAAUAUUGGAUAAUGGGCGAAAGCCUGAUCCAGCAAUGCCGCGUGAGUGAUGAAGGCCUUAGGGUUGUAAAGCUCUUUACCCGAGAUGAUAAUGACAGUAUCGGGAGAAUAAGCUCCGGCUAACUCCGUG